RNAcentral lists this long non-coding RNA (572 nucleotides) under Helianthus annuus (common sunflower). The record is from RNAcentral. Lineage: Eukaryota; Viridiplantae; Streptophyta; Magnoliopsida; Asterales; Asteraceae.
AGCAUACUUUCCUCUGUAGCAAGACAUGAAAGAAAUUAUAGAGAAAGGAGAUUGUAAGAGUCAAUGAUGGGGAGUGAGGGUUAAUAUAGAAGAGAUUGUUGAGACAUCAGUUUCAUCGCCCCCAAUAAAAGAAACAGGUCAAGAUCUGAAAGCAGAUCUGAAACGGGUAAGACCGAGAACCUGUUACACCGGAAUGGUUUAAGCAGUGGAGGAUGGUGAUGGCAGAAUGGUGGUGCUACCAGGCACAUAACAGGCCAAUACUUUUCUGGCAGUCAAAUCGAUAUCGGCGACCACUGCUUUGAGAUCUGUAAACUAGGGUUUUUCAAGGUCAGCAAAGAUGAUCGAUUCUUGAGAAUCAAACGACGAAAUAAUUUGUUUUGGGUGAAUGGUGAUGGAAUUAAUUGUGGAUGAUUUGUGACCUUAUUUGAGGAGAAUUAUAUUGAAGUAUUUGAAUUUCAUCUUGUUGAUAAGUGCAGAAUUAAUUCGAUGAUUUUGAAGAUCUGAAUUGUUGUUCCAAAGUUCAUGUUUAUGGAUUAAUAAAUAGAUAAAUUUAUAUUUUAUUAUAGUUUUAG